UACAGAGGGGGCAAGCGUUAUUCGGAAUUAUUGGGCGUAAAGGGCGCGUAGGCGGUUCUUCAAGUCUCUCGUGAAAUCCCUCGGCUUAACUGAGGACGUGCGGGAGAUACUGAAGGGCUUGAGUCCGGAAGAGGGUGGUGGAAUUCCCAGUGUAGCGGUGAAAUGCGUAGAUAUUGGGAGGAACACCGAUGGCGAAGGCAGCUCGCUGGGACGGUACUGACGCUGAGGCGCGAAAGCGUGGGGAGCAAACAGG
This 253-nucleotide ribosomal RNA is filed under the name uncultured bacterium. RNAcentral's name for it is "partial 16S ribosomal RNA". It matches the Rfam family "Bacterial small subunit ribosomal RNA", at positions 524 to 776 of the family's 1533-position model. The record is from RNAcentral.